Equus asinus (donkey) is the source of this 3952-nucleotide long non-coding RNA. Lineage: Eukaryota; Metazoa; Chordata; Mammalia; Perissodactyla; Equidae. The record is from Ensembl.
CUGAAGCAUGGUAAGCUAGAAGAACAGCUAUGAGAUAUGAAAUUAGAAAAGUGUACAGGAGCCAGAUCAUAUAGGAUUUAGUAACCCAUCCAAGGAUGAUGGGAAGCGACUGGAAGGCUUGGAGCAGAGAGGGGGGUGGUGAUCUGAUGCGCAUUUAAAAGCAUUGCUCUAACUGCUGUUUGGACAAUAGAGCAUAGAGGGAAGGAGUGGGAUCGGAAAGCUCUCUUGAAGGACUAUUACAGGAUCAUAAAGGGGGAGAUGCUGGCAGGUUGGACUAGGGUGAUGGUAGUGUAGGUAGAGAGAAGAGGAUAGACUCAGGCUAUGAUUUGGAGGAAGAUGGGGACAAUGGGACUUGCUGAUUUAUCAUAUGUGAGAGAUGAAGGAAACAGUAAUUAAGGAUAAACUCACUGAGAUGAGAAAGAUUAGAGAAGGAGUGGAUUAGGAGAGGUGAAUGAGGAUGGAAAUCUGGAAUUUUGUUUUAGCCAUGUUAAUUUUGAAAUUUCUAUUGGAAGCCUAAGUGGAAGUGACACAUUGGUAGUUGGAUGCAGAUAUCUUGAAGGUCAGGGCUGGAGGCACAUGUUUGGGCUUACUGGUACGUAGAUCAUUUGAAAGCCAUAGGACUUGAUAAAAUUAUGUAGGAAGGGGGUACAAAGAGAAGAGGCAGAGUCUUGGCUUGAACCCUGAGGUAUUCCAACAUCUUGAAGGCAAGCAGAAGAUGAGCCAGCAGAGAAUGACAAGGAGUCCCUUUUAUAAUACAUGUUAAGACCCUGACGUUUCAAGACAGAGAGGAUUUUAUAAGUGUAAAGAGAAUGAAUCAUUGAAAGUACAUUCAAAAACAUAGAAACAACCUUUUCUGCCCAGCACUACACUGUGGGCUGUAAGACAGAAUAUAACUCCUUUUCCUUUUCAUAACAGCAGCUUACACUUGUAAGUAUGUGAUAGUUUACAAGACAUUUUAGAAUAUAUCAGUUUCUUUUAAUAGUCACCAGUGUGUGGGAGUUAGGUGCCAUUAUCCUUUAUUUCACAUUUUAGAGAGAUUACAUGACUCUCCUAAGUUCUCACUAAAGAUAGGAAGGGCGAUAGAAAUUUGAAUAAAGCAUCUGAUGCCAGUUUCCUCCUGCUCCACUGUCCUUUCCGCCAAUGCAAAUUCUUUAAUUCUGCCUUUGAACUAGCUUCAGGGAUGGCACUGUAUACCUAGGUUAAGUGCAUUACAGAGGACACCACUUUCUAGCUCUUUGUAUCCCAAAGAAAGUGAACAUCUGGGACCUACCUUUCUCAGGCUCAUUAGACAGGCUGCUUCCUAUAUAGGCUACCAUUUUACUUUGUCCCAGAAAACAGUGAACAUUAGCUUUGAGGCACAGGGACUUUGUUUUAAAUUCCGGCCCUGCCAUUCAUUCGAUGUAUGAUAUCACGUACGUCACUUAACUUCUCUGAGCGUCUGUUUCGUCAUGGGUAAAAUGAAGAUAAUGUCAAUCUGUAACAGAUAUUUGCUGAUAUUGCUGCCUUGUACCCAUUCUUUUCCCCCAUUGCACAGUUAUGGAAAAAAUAUCACAAUUUUGUUGUGAAGGUCUCACACCACUCCACCCUUUGUUCUUGUGCUUUAGAUGGAGCUGUCUCUAUCCUUCCCUUCCAGGGUGCGAUACGAGACCUAGGUCAAGGCUAAGCCAAUCUGUACAAACCAGUGCAUUCCAUCUCUAAGGCUUUGAUGAUUGGCUUACAGCUGGUCACAUGAUCUAAGUCAGGUCAAUCAGAACCAGGAAAAUUUAAAGCUGGUAUAUCUUUGGUGAGCCGAUGGAAGAAAUAGAUUGUCUUCUCUGCUGGAUUGGGUGCUAUAUUUGUGAGUUUGAGAGUGACCACAGGGACCCUGAGAAUGCCGUCUAUAUGAAAGAUGCAGAUUGAGAAAAAGAUUCCAGGAAUGUCAUUUGAGCCCUUGGUCGAGCCAUAUCUGAAGCCGCUGGAUUCUACCCUGGACUUGCAUGCAAGUUAACCAAUCUUCUUUCUUGUUCAAGCCAGUCUGAGUUGGGUCUCCUGUCACCUGCAAGUAUAAGAGUUUAAAUUGAUAAAAUUAUCUUGAAUGGUUGUAGCAAGGAUAAAAUUAAUAAAUAUAAAAAGAACAAAUCCAAAGGAGACUCUCAGUAAAUAGAAGCAAUUAUGGCAAUUUCAUCUUCAGUUUCCUUUAAAUGCUACACCCUUCCCAUAACAGCGAUUGAGUAGUCUCAGAAAUUGAAAACUAUAAAGGAAUCUAAGCAUAACCAGGUGCUGCAGAUUUGUGUAUUUUCAAAAGUUCACAGCAUCAAGCCAAAAUGCCAGUUACUCUGACGCAGACUAAAUAUUCAUCAUCAGAAGAACGCACAUGGAACACACACAUGCAAACGUACAAGACUGUAAACAUCCAUCCUCAUCUCCAAUGAAUGUUUUGGGGGUGAAACUAAUCUUGAUUCUCCAAUUGGGGUCAUGACCCAGACUUGGCUAAUGAGAGAACAGCAUCCUCCUGGCUCCUCCUGCUUCAGAGAUGAAUGUGAUCCCAAGAGGGAAGCGAAAGGAGUACCUGCAAGUUCUCCUGAAACUUUCAGCCUGUCCUCCUCAAGUCUUCAGGUCGUGAAGCUAAGGCCCAAAGAUCACUGGCUGCCAUGUCAUGGAUACACCCAGGAAGUUUCUGGUUAAACCCACAUAUGCAGAUGCGAGACACACAAAUAACCAUGGUUCUUCCUUCCCCAGCACCUGACCUCAGUGAGAUUGCCCGUCCCUCACUCCCACAGCCUGGAACCCCAUUGCAGCACCAAUUCUCUACAACUGGCAGGCAUGUUGGUCCCACACUGUUAGAGCUGAUUGGGCUAUUUCUGCAUUAUAUCAGGAGCCUCUACAAUCAGAGCUGGUGUGAACACACAAUGGAGAUGCCCUUGGGCAUUCACAGUGGCUGCCAGAGAACAUCGUGAGCUUCCCACAAAGGACUGAAGAUUAUGAGAAAGAUAACAAACAGAUAUGAUGGUGGUACGAAGCAAAAAAUUAAAGAUUCCAGACAGCAGUACCAGGAGGCCAGCAAAAUCCUUGGCAGCAGCCUCUUCCAAUAAAUCAGCAUGUCAGAAGAAACAAUGACCCUUCCCAUGGUACAGGAACAAAACCACAAACUCUCCAAGGUGGACCUGGAACAGAAGUCUCCAAGACAACCUCAAUACAUCUCAUUCCUUUCCCAUUCAUCGAGGGCAAGUACAAGAGGUGAUGGAAUUUCUUCAACUUUAUCAAGAGGCUCACCAAUCCAGAACGACCCUCGGAAACCCAGAUAAGAGAGUGAAUUAAUUGCCCAUUGUAAAUAUCAGUAUCCUUUCGCCAACCCACCAACUGUUAUUCUCUGAUGUGAAUGGGAAAAUCUCCAGGACGUAAAGGAGGGUAGAUUCACUGGCAGAAGGUGCCUUGGUCCCUGAAUGACUACAUGGAGCACUGUCCUGUCCCCUCCCUACAACUGUCACUGGACUCUGACAUGAUUUUGCACAUUUAUAUGAGGAUGUGAUGCCUGGAACUACAACAGCGACCUUGUCUUCAUUAAGAGAAAAAUCUGAAAGCAAAAAAUGACAGGCUACAGAUGGCUAAGGCUGUGGAGCCAGUUCUGGAAGCAACCUAUUACCAGAAGUGUUUUAGGGGACAAGACUCUUGGGUGGCCAGAACUGAAGACUCAGAAAUGACAGCCCUCUUACCCUCCGAGGUACUGACUGAGACGUAGGAAGUUCCAUCCACAAGGUGCUGUGUUGUGCAGGGUCCGAGAGGACCUGGCUCAGGAUUCUGACUAGACACUCUAAACGUUUUGUACUCUGGGGAAAGCAACGCUCCCUCAGCUUCUGUUUCUUUAGUUUUAAAAGCAAAGAGCCUUUACUAGAUGGUGUCUCGCAUUUCUACUAUAGUGCAAUAAUUUAUUCUUUUCUGUUUUGUUUCAUACCAGUUGACUGUGCAAAAAAAU